RNAcentral lists this ribosomal RNA (431 nucleotides) under uncultured Parvibaculum sp. Its description in RNAcentral is "bacterial SSU rRNA". It matches the Rfam family "Bacterial small subunit ribosomal RNA", at positions 8 to 487 of the family's 1533-position model. Lineage: Bacteria; Pseudomonadati; Pseudomonadota; Alphaproteobacteria; Hyphomicrobiales; Parvibaculaceae. The record is from RNAcentral.
AGAGUUUGAUCAUGGCUCAGAACGAACGCUGGCGGCAGGCUUAACACAUGCAAGUCGAACGCCCCGCAAGGGGAGUGGCAGACGGGUGAGUAACACGUGGGAACAUGCCCAAAGGUACGGAAUAUCCUCGGGAAACUGGGAGCAAUACCGUAUGUGCCCGAAAGGGGAAAGAUUUAUCGCCUUUGGAUUGGCCCGCGUUGGAUUAGCUAGUUGGUGGGGUAAAAGCCUACCAAGGCGACGAUCCAUAGCUGGUCUGAGAGGACGACCAGCCACACUGGGACUGAGACACGGCCCAGACUCCUACGGGAGGCAACAGUGGGGAAUCUUGGACAAUGGGCGCAAGCCUGAUCCAGCCAUGCCGCGUGAGUGAUGAAGGCCUUAGGGUUGUAAAACUCUUUCGUCGGGGACGAUAAUGACGGUACCCGAAGAAA